CACGUUUCCGUCUGAUAAACAGGGAUCAAGAGGGACCAAAUUUUUCAGAAUAGUACCAGUGAUACUUCUAAGCUGGUGCGAAACUCAGAAGAUGAGUGAAUUUAUUGGGUGUCUUUGUCCGAGGGUUCAUCGAAAAUUAACCGAAGAAUAAACAUGUAGAAAGCUUAGUUGCUCGUCGUUUGGACGAGGGUUCGAAACCCUCCGACUCCACCU
This 213-nucleotide transfer-messenger RNA is filed under the name Crocinitomicaceae bacterium. RNAcentral's name for it is "partial transfer-messenger RNA". It matches the Rfam family "transfer-messenger RNA", at positions 152 to 374 of the family's 374-position model. From Rfam's summary of the family: Bacterial tmRNA, also known as 10Sa RNA or SsrA, is named for its dual tRNA and mRNA-like properties. Its role is to liberate the mRNA from a stalled ribosome. Lineage: Bacteria; Pseudomonadati; Bacteroidota; Flavobacteriia; Flavobacteriales; Crocinitomicaceae. The record is from RNAcentral.